This 395-nucleotide ribosomal RNA is filed under the name uncultured bacterium. RNAcentral's name for it is "partial 16S ribosomal RNA". It matches the Rfam family "Bacterial small subunit ribosomal RNA", at positions 338 to 731 of the family's 1533-position model. The record is from RNAcentral.
CCUACGGGUGGCAGCAGUGAGGAAUAUUGGUCAAUGGUCGGAAGACUGAACCAGCCAAGCCGCGUGAGGGAAGACGGCACUGUGUAUUGUAAACCUCUUUUGUCAGGGAACAAAGGCGGGGACGUGUCUCCGGAUGAGUGUACCCUAAGAAAAAGCAUCGGCUAACUCCGUGCCAGCAGCCGCGGUAAUACGGAGGAUGCGAGCGUUAUCCGGAUUUAUGGGGUUUAAAGGGUGCGCAGGCGGACUGUUAAGUUAGCGGUAAAAGUCCGGGGCUCAACCCCGGCCCGCCGUUGAAACUGGCGUUCUCGAGUGGGAGAGAGGUAUGCGGAAUGCGCGGUGUAGCGGUGAAAUGCAUAGAGAUCACGCAGAACUCCGAUUGCGAAGGCAGCAUACCG